AUUAACAUAGGAAGAUGACAUAUUGAAAGGUGUUCAGAGAAAAGCAUCAAUGAGCAGCAGGUCCAAGACAUUGGAAAUACAACUAAAAGAGGAAUUUGUAACCUUGGCAGGGCCUUACUUAGAAAUGAUACUGUGGACAACUCCAUGGGAAGUACGCCCGAUGGCGAUUAUCGAAGUGACUGGCGUUGAACAUGGACUCUCCCCAGCUGACGAUGCCCACUAGAUCUGCUGGACAAGCAUGCACUUUCAGCUGAGUGAUCGUAGCCAUCGUCUAUCUCUGAAGCUGGAAGCAUCUGCUCCGCUUAAGGCAGUGUCUGCAGUGUGUUUGCUCCUGUGACCUGGCUUCAGAAAGUCACCUAUGUACUCUACAUAUUUGUCCAAUGACAGCACCUGGUGAUCUCAAGCAUAUAUGGCAACCUGGACUGGAAGAGGGGCUGUUUGGAAGAACUGCUACUGUAAUAUCCAAUAUAUCACAUGGAUUUUUCUUCCAGAGUAACCCUAGCCGCUUGAGCAAGAGCAAGUAGCUACAUGCCUGAAUCCACCGCCUGGAUCUGGAUUUGGAGGUCGCAGAGUAAGUGGAACGAGACAAGCGAUAGCUUGUGAACUGAGUGACCAGACCAAUCAGGCUGCUGGAGGAUGCGCGUGGACAAAGAGACCUAACCAAUCCAAGCACUGGAAGUGGCGUGUGAUAGCUCGGGGGGAAAUAAAAGGUCACUAGGGGAAAGCUUUGGGGCUGCUAUGCAGACGCUAUA
Molecule: long non-coding RNA, 752 nt
Organism: Struthio camelus australis
Lineage: Eukaryota; Metazoa; Chordata; Aves; Struthioniformes; Struthionidae
Source: RefSeq, a predicted model, not a curated record